ACGAACGCUGGCGGCGUGCUUAACCCAUGCCAGUCGAACGGGAUAAUUUGAGAGCUUGCUCUUAGAGAAUCUAGUGGCAAACGGGUGAGUAACACGUAGACAACCUGCCGACAGGAUGGGGACAACAUUCCGAAAGGAAUGCUAAUACCGAAUGAAGCGGAGGAGAGGCAUCUCUCCUCCGUGAAAGAUGGCCUCUGAAUAUGCUAUCACCUGUCGAUGGGUCUGCGUCUGAUUAGCUAGUUGGUGAGGUAACGGCUCACCAAGGCGACGAUCAGUAGCCGGUCUGAGAGGAUGAACGGCCACAUUGGGACUGAGACACGGCCCAGACUCCUGCGGGAGGCAGCAGUGGGGAAUCUUCCGCAAUGGGCGCAAGCCUGACGGAGCAACGCCGCGUGAGUGAAGAAGGUCUUCGGAUCGUAAAGCUCUGUUGACGGGGACGAACGUGCGAAGGGUGAAUAAUCCUUUGUAAUGACGGUACCUGUCGAGGAAGCCACGGCUAACUACGUG
This 507-nucleotide ribosomal RNA is filed under the name uncultured bacterium. RNAcentral describes it as "partial 16S ribosomal RNA". It matches the Rfam family "Bacterial small subunit ribosomal RNA", at positions 29 to 507 of the family's 1533-position model. The record is from RNAcentral.